Molecule: unclassified non-coding RNA, 280 nt
Filed under: Hevea brasiliensis (rubber tree)
Lineage: Eukaryota; Viridiplantae; Streptophyta; Magnoliopsida; Malpighiales; Euphorbiaceae
Source: RNAcentral
AAAAGAAGAGAAAAGAAAAGAAAUAGGAACUGAUGGCCUACAUCAGGAGUGCUUCUGGGGUAAUGAAUGGAACUAGAGAAGACAAUCCUCCUCUAGCCAUUAAUUAAAAUUGCCUUUCUAUCAUAGGUCACACUACACUCAAUUAGCUAAGAACAAAAAACCUAACAAAGCACACCAACGUCAACAACUUGCCAACUGAACUACUUCCCAUUCUUGAUUCUUCCCCCUUCGCUUUUCUUCCUCUCCUCUACUCUUAUAACUUUAGCAAAACUCAGAAAUG